UAAUACGAAGGGGGCUAGCAUUGCUCGGAAUUAUUGGGCGUAAAGCGUGCGUAGGCUGUUUAGUAAGUCAAGAGUGAAAUCCUUGGGCUCAACCCAAGAACUGCUCCUGAUACUGCUAGACUUGAGGACUGUAGGGGAUAGCGGAAUUCCUAGUGUAGGGGUGAAAUUCGUAGAUAUUAGGAGGAACACCAGAGGCGAAAGCGGUUAUCUGGGCAGUCACUGACGCUGUUGCACGAAAGCGUGGGGAGCAAACAGG
Molecule: ribosomal RNA, 256 nt
Filed under: uncultured bacterium
Lineage: Bacteria
Description: partial 16S ribosomal RNA
Rfam family: Bacterial small subunit ribosomal RNA
Source: RNAcentral